RNAcentral lists this ribosomal RNA (449 nucleotides) under uncultured bacterium. Its description in RNAcentral is "partial 16S ribosomal RNA". It matches the Rfam family "Bacterial small subunit ribosomal RNA", at positions 29 to 523 of the family's 1533-position model. The record is from RNAcentral.
AACGAACGCUGGCGGCAUGCCUAACACAUGCAAGUCGAACGAGAUCUUCGGGUCUAGUGGCGCACGGGUGCGUAACGCGUGGGAAUCUGCCCUUUGGUUCGGAAUAACAGUUGGAAACGACUGCUAAUACCGGAUGAUGACGAAAGUCCAAAGAUUUAUCGCCAGAGGAUGAGCCCGCGUAGGAUUAGCUAGUUGGUGUGGUAAAGGCGCACCAAGGCGACGAUCCUUAGCUGGUCUGAGAGGAUGAUCAGGCACACUGGGACUGAGACACGGCCCAGACUCCUACGGGAGGCAGCAGGGGGGAAUAUUGAACAAUGGGCGAAAGCCUGAUCCAGCAAUGCCGCGUGAGGGAUGAAGGUCUUAGGGUUGUAAAGCUCUUUUACCCGGGAUGAUAAUGACAGUACCGGGAGAAUAAGCUCCGGCUAACUCCGUGCCAGCCGCCGCAGUAA